CCUACGGGUGGCAGCAGUGGGGAAUUUUGGACAAUGGGCGCAAGCCUGAUCCAGCCAUGCCGCGUGCGGGAAGAAGGCCUUCGGGUUGUAAACCGCUUUUGUCAGGGAAGAAACGCUCCGGGCUAAUACCUCGGGGUAAUGACGGUACCUGAAGAAUAAGCACCGGCUAACUACGUGCCAGCAGCCGCGGUAAUACGUAGGGUGCAAGCGUUAAUCGGAAUUACUGGGCGUAAAGCGUGCGCAGGCGGUUUUGUAAGACAGAGGUGAAAUCCCCGGGCUCAACCUGGGAACUGCCUUUGUGACUGCAAGGCUUGAGUGCGGCAGAGGGGGAUGGAAUUCCGCGUGUAGCAGUGAAAUGCGUAGAUAUGCGGAGGAACACCGAUGGCGAAGGCAAUCCCCUGGGCCUGCACUGACGCUCAUGCACGAAAGCGUGGGUAGCAAACAGGAUUAGAUACCCCGGUAGUC
Molecule: ribosomal RNA, 465 nt
Filed under: Vreelandella stevensii
Lineage: Bacteria; Pseudomonadati; Pseudomonadota; Gammaproteobacteria; Oceanospirillales; Halomonadaceae
Description: partial 16S ribosomal RNA
Rfam family: Bacterial small subunit ribosomal RNA
Source: RNAcentral